GAGUGCAAAGGCAGAAGGGAGCUUGACUGCGACACCGACGGGUGGAGCAGGUACGAAAGUAGGACUUAGUGAUCCGGUGGUAUAAAGUGGGAUUGCCAUCGCUCAACGGAUAAAAGCUACCCUGGGGAUAACAGGCUUAUCACUCCCAAGAGUUCACAUCGACGGAGUGGUUUGGCACCUCGAUGUCGGCUCAUCGCAUCCUGGGGCUGAAGUAGGUCCCAAGGGUUGGGCUGUUCGCCCAUUAAAGCGGUACGCGAGCUGGGUUCAGAACGUCGUGAGACAGUUCGGUCCCUAUCCGGCGUGGGCGUAGGAUAUUUGAGAGGAGCUGCCCUUAGUACGAGAGGACCGGGGUGGACUGGCCGCUGGUGGAUCUGUUGCACUGCCAAGUGCAUGGCAGAGUAGCCAAGCCGGGACGGGAUAAACGCUGAAGGCAUCUAAGCGUGAAGCCCCCCUCAAGAUGAGAUAUCCCAACGGAAGUUGUAAGACCCCUUGAAGACGACGAGGUAGAUAGGACAGAGGUGGAAGUGCAGUAAUGUAUGGAGCUGACUGUUACUAAUCGGUCGAGGGCAUAACCAA
This 576-nucleotide ribosomal RNA is filed under the name gut metagenome. RNAcentral describes it as "bacterial LSU rRNA". It matches the Rfam family "Bacterial large subunit ribosomal RNA", at positions 2347 to 2925 of the family's 2925-position model. The record is from RNAcentral.